RNAcentral lists this ribosomal RNA (433 nucleotides) under uncultured bacterium. RNAcentral describes it as "partial 16S ribosomal RNA". It matches the Rfam family "Bacterial small subunit ribosomal RNA", at positions 29 to 507 of the family's 1533-position model. The record is from RNAcentral.
AACGAACGCUGGCGGCAUGCCUAACACAUGCAAGUCGAACGAUGCCUUCGGUCAUAGUGGCGCACGGGUGCGUAACGCGUGGGAAUCUGCCUUUCGGUUCGGAAUAACUCAGGGAAACUUGCGCUAAUACCGGAUAACGUCGCAAGACCAAAGAUUUAUCACCGAAAGAUGAGCCCGCGUAGGAUUAGCUAGUUGGUGAGGUAAAGGCUCACCAAGGCGACGAUCCUUAGCUGGUCUGAGAGGAUGAUCAGCCACACUGGGACUGAGACACGGCCCAGACUCCUACGGGAGGCAGCAGUGGGGAAUAUUGGACAAUGGGCGAAAGCCUGAUCCAGCAAUGCCGCGUGAGUGAUGAAGGCCUUAGGGUUGUAAAGCUCUUUUACCCGGGAAGAUAAUGACGGUACCGGGAGAAUAAGCCCCGGCUAACUCCGUG